This 313-nucleotide unclassified non-coding RNA is filed under the name plant metagenome. Its description in RNAcentral is "partial contains 5.8S ribosomal RNA, internal transcribed spacer 2, and large subunit ribosomal RNA". The stretch from base 1 to 105 matches the Rfam family "5.8S ribosomal RNA", at positions 50 to 154 of the family's 154-position model. The record is from RNAcentral.
GAAAUGCGAUAAUUAAUGUGAAUUGCAGAAUUCAGUGAAUCAUCGAGUCUUUGAACGCACAUUGCGCCCCCUGGUAUUCCGGGGGGCAUGCCUGUCCGAGCGUCAUUGCUGCCCUCAAGCACGGCUUGUGUGUUGGGCUUCCGUCCCUGGCACGGGGACGGGCCCAAAAGGCAGUGGCGGCACCAUGUCUGGUCCUCGAGCGUAUGGGGCUUUGUCACCCGCUCCCGUAGGUCCAGCUGGCAGCUAGCCUCGCAACCAAUCUUUUUAACCAGGUUGACCUCGGAUCAGGUAGGGAUACCCGCUGAACUUAAGC